GUACUCUCAGGAGAGUAAACGUAGUUUCAUUCUGGGAUACAGGUACUCUCAGGAGAGUAAACGUAGUUUCAUUCUGGGCUACAGGUACUCUCAGGAGAGUAAACGUAGUUUCAUUCUGGGCUACAGGUACUCUCAGAAGAGUAAACGUGUUUUCAUUCUGGGCUACAGGUACUCUCAGGAGAGUAAAGACAAAUGCCAGCUUUUUAACUUCAUUCUGGGGACUGCAAAGAUGGCCGUGUAUCUGAGCAGGAGAAACCGAAUAGAGAAAGCGGUGGAUGAUGAUGCUGUGUUUGUGUUUGU
Sebastes umbrosus (honeycomb rockfish) is the source of this 300-nucleotide long non-coding RNA. RefSeq lists it as uncharacterized. The record is from RefSeq and is a predicted model, not a curated record. The transcript is spliced from 2 exons. NCBI's taxonomy places the organism in Eukaryota, Metazoa, Chordata, Actinopteri, Perciformes, Sebastidae.